AGCCUGAACGCUGGCGGCGUGGCUAAGACAUGCAAGUCGAACGGGUGUAGCAAUACACCAGUGGCGGACGGGUGAGUAAAGUAUCGCUAAUGUGCCCCGGAGCCUGGGAUAGCCAGCCGAAAGGCUGGGUAAUACCAGAUGAUAUAACUUUGUCGCAUGACAGAGUUCUCAAAGCAGCAAUGCACUCUGGGAGCAGGCGAUAUCGUAUCAGCUAGUUGGUGAGGUAACGGCUCACCAAGGCGAUGACGCGUAGCUGGUCUGAGAGGGCGGCCAGCCACAUUGGGACUGAGACACUGCCCAGACUCCGUACGGGGGCUGCAGUAACGAAUCUUCGUCAAUGCACGAAAGUGUGAACGAGCGACGCCGCGUGCAGGAGAGUCCGUCGGAUGUAAACUGCUGUCGAGGGAAAGAAGUUCUAGAUCUACCCAGAGGAAGAGGCGCUAACUCUGU
RNAcentral lists this ribosomal RNA (450 nucleotides) under uncultured soil bacterium. RNAcentral's name for it is "bacterial SSU rRNA". It matches the Rfam family "Bacterial small subunit ribosomal RNA", at positions 26 to 506 of the family's 1533-position model. The record is from RNAcentral.